AGAGUUUGAUCCUGGCUCAGGACGAACGCUGGCGGCGUGCUUAACACAUGCAAGUCGAACGGUAAGGCCCUUCGGGGUACACGAGUGGCGAACGGGUGAGUAACACGUGGGUAAUCUGCCCUGCACAUCGGGAUAAGCCUGGGAAACUGGGUCUAAUACCGAAUAGGACCACAGGACACAUGUCCUGUGGUGGAAAGCUUUUGCGGUGUGGGAUGGGCCCGCGGCCUAUCAGCUUGUUGGUGGGGUGAUGGCCUACCAAGGCGACGACGGGUAGCCGGCCUGAGAGGGUGUCCGGCCACACUGGGACUGAGAUACGGCCCAGACUCCUACGGGAGGCAGCAGUGGGGAAUAUUGCACAAUGGGCGAAAGCCUGAUGCAGCGACGCCGCGUGGGGGAUGACGGCCUUCGGGUUGUAAACCUCUUUCACCAUCGACGAAGGUCCGGGUUUUCUCGGGCUGACGGUAGGUGGAGAAGAAGCACCGGCCAACUACGUGCCAGCAGCCGCGGUAAUACGUAGGGUGCGAGCGUUGUCCGGAAUUACUGGGCGUAAAGAGCUCGUAGGUGGUUUGUCGCGUUGUUCGUGAAAUCUCACGGCUUAACUGUGAGCGUGCGGGCGAUACGGGCAGACUUGAGUACUGCAGGGGAGACUGGAAUUCCCGGUGUAGCGGUGGAAUGCGCAGAUAUCAGGAGGAACACCGGUGGCGAAGGCGGGUCUCUGGGCAGUAACUGACGCUGAGGAGCGAAAGCGUGGGGAGCGAACAGGAUUAGAUACCCUGGUAGUCC
Molecule: ribosomal RNA, 783 nt
Filed under: uncultured bacterium
Lineage: Bacteria
Description: bacterial SSU rRNA
Rfam family: Bacterial small subunit ribosomal RNA
Source: RNAcentral